Molecule: ribosomal RNA, 257 nt
Filed under: uncultured bacterium
Lineage: Bacteria
Description: partial 16S ribosomal RNA
Rfam family: Bacterial small subunit ribosomal RNA
Source: RNAcentral
GACAGAGGUCCCGAGCGUUAGGCGGAAUCACUGGGCUUAAAGCGUGUGUAGGCGGAUCGUUAAGUGCCUUGUCGAAAUCCCACGGCUUAACCGUGGAACUGCUUGGCAUACUGGCGGUCUUGAGCCACUUAGGGGCACCGGAACAAAUGGUGGAGCGGUGAAAUGCGGUAGAUAGUCAUUGGAACGCCAAUGGUGAAAACAGGUUGCUGGGAGUGUGCUGACCGCUGGAGACACGGAAAGCCAGGGGAGCGAACGGG